CUUUCAACAACGGAUCUCUUGGUUCUGGCAUCGAUGAAGAACGCAGCGAAAUGCGAAAUGUAAUGUGAAUUGCAGAAUUCAGUGAAUCAUCGAAUCUUUGAACGCACAUUGCGCCCCUCGGUAUUCCGGGGGGCAUGCCUGUUCGAGCGUCA
RNAcentral lists this ribosomal RNA (152 nucleotides) under Cladonia coccifera. RNAcentral's name for it is "5.8S ribosomal RNA". It matches the Rfam family "5.8S ribosomal RNA". Rfam says of the family: 5.8S ribosomal RNA (5.8S rRNA) is a component of the large subunit of the eukaryotic ribosome. It is transcribed by RNA polymerase I as part of the 45S precursor that also contains 18S and 28S rRNA. Functionally, it is thought that 5.8S rRNA may be involved in ribosome translocation. The record is from RNAcentral. Lineage: Eukaryota; Fungi; Ascomycota; Lecanoromycetes; Lecanorales; Cladoniaceae.